AGUGAACGCUGGCGGUAGGCCUAACACAUGCAAGUCGAACGGCAGCACAGAGGAGCUUGCUCCUUGGGUGGCGAGUGGCGGACGGGUGAGGAAUACAUCGGAAUCUACUCUGUCGUGGGGGAUAACGUAGGGAAACUUACGCUAAUACCGCAUACGACCUACGGGUGAAAGCAGGGGAUCUUCGGACCUCGCGCGAUUGAAUGAGCCGAUGUCGGAUUAGCUAGUUGGCGGGGUAAAGGCCCACCAAGGCGACGAUCCGUAGCUGGUCUGAGAGUAGGAGCAGCCACACUGGAACUGAGACACGGUCCAGACUCCUACGGGAGGCAGCAGUGGGGAAUGUUGGACAAUGGGCGCAAGCCUGAUCCAGCCAUACCGCGUGGGUGAAGAAGGCCUUCGGGUUGUAAAGCCCUUUUGUUGGGAAAGAAAUCCAUCUGGUUAAUACCCGGGUGGGAUGACGGUACCCAAAGAAUAAGCACCGGCUAACUUCGUGCCAGCCGCCGCCGUAA
Molecule: ribosomal RNA, 506 nt
Filed under: uncultured bacterium
Lineage: Bacteria
Description: partial 16S ribosomal RNA
Rfam family: Bacterial small subunit ribosomal RNA
Source: RNAcentral